UACAAGGACAUGAUAGUACUCCAUGUACAGUUAUGAGAAUGGUUGUUGGCUCAAGAAAAUCUGUCAUUUUGCAGGACCACCACAUAUGAAAAUAUGAUCACAUUGUUAGUUUACAUUUUCAACAGGUAUUUUUCCAUUGUGGCUGGAUUUUGGGCAUUUUUACAGUGUCAUCAUAUUUUGAAAAAAGUUUUCCAACACAGGAAACAGCAUACCGCAAACGCGUAACAAGACCUACAUGAGGAAGAAAAACAUAAAAGGCUGAAGGAAAGAGGAAAAGGAGUAGGAAGUACAGGAAGGCUGGAGGAAAAGUUGAGUCAUGGAGCCAAAACCAGAUGAGGACCAAGAAGGUUGAUAAUGGCCAGUUCACAUAUUGAUAAGAUUCCCCAACAUACUUAUGAUAAACAAGAAGCCAAGUCUAGGCUAGCUGGAAGCUACUAUUCCAAAGCCUGAGUACCACUACAGCGAAACCUUCAUCCUGAUGGUUGUCAGAUGAGCAUCUGAAGGUUGUGAUGUAAUUAAGAGGAUCUCUGGGAGUACCACAGUGUUACAUUUACAUUUACAAUGUAAUUGUAAUUAUAAGAGCAAUUGCAAGUUUAUGUUUGAUGUAACAUUAGAUCCCAACAAAUAUUUUUCUUACUUUUCUUUCUUUUUCAUCAUUGGAUGUAUUCAGCGGUAUUAUUUCAAGAAUAUUAUUUCUGAAUUAGCUCAAAACAAUCUCCCUUUUGUUCUUGUCUUCUUCAGCCUGGACUUACCUCCUGCAUUGUGCUGGUGAUAAUUGAUCAUUUCUGGGAUACCAUUAAAAAUAUGCUUCUCUGCCAGGUAGUACUUUUUGGGAUUGUCACUUGUUUCCUUGAUGUGAUAAUGCUUUAUGACUGGGUUAUUGUCAUUACUAAAAAAAGAGAAAUAAAAUGGGAUAAUAAUGGGAAAA
Molecule: non-coding RNA, 928 nt
Organism: Anolis sagrei ordinatus
Lineage: Eukaryota; Metazoa; Chordata; Lepidosauria; Squamata; Anolidae
Source: RefSeq, a predicted model, not a curated record